This 718-nucleotide non-coding RNA is filed under the name Pan troglodytes (chimpanzee). Lineage: Eukaryota; Metazoa; Chordata; Mammalia; Primates; Hominidae. The record is from RNAcentral.
AGAUCAGCCCUGGGGUUCAGAGGGAUCCUGACGGCUACUCCUCAAGAUCCUCUCUGUUGUGAUUCAUCCCCCCCGGGCCCUACAGUUUCUCCUUCCUGACUCUUACAUUUCUUUGGAUGGCAUCAUUAUUCAAUUUUCCUGCCUCACCCUCCCAAGUAGCUGGGAUUACAGUACCUGUCUCCUCCCAUAGUUAGGUGCCAAGCACUGUGGAUUCUGCCCCUCAGUGUCCAGACACCCAUUUUCCUUCCCACUGUUCCUUCCCCAUGGAGAAGCCUGUGGCUGGCUGACAGCAGAGAGAGAUGCUCAACUUGGAGAAGGUGUUACCUGGGCCAGGUGGGGAAGGUUUGUUUGCAGAGCAAAGAAGUGAAGCCUAUUCAACGUGAAAAAGAUGAGGAUGAAGACCUUUAUUAUGAUCCACUUCCAAGUAAUGAACACACUGGAGAAAGUCAGACAGUCAAAACAAUGUCCCAGACUCCGUGAAGUUCCUGGGUAGAGAAGGAGACAGACAUAUACCAUACCUAAUAAUUGGAUGUCCGAGAGAAUGAGAGAAUGGCAGAAAGAACUUUAGAGCAUGGGUAUGAUGGCUAGAGCUUGAGCAGCCAUUGUGGACAUCAGAUGAACUUGAAAGUGAAAACUAUGAGCUGAAUACGACAAAGCAAACAGAUAGAAAACUGGAUUCAUUAUGACAUUGCAAAGCUGCCAGACCAGCUCUAGUCUG